GGAGACAGGGCAUGGAGAUAGGAAAAAUGGUGGAAUGAGAUGAACAUUAUUAUCCUAGGUAUGGGUAUGAUUGCACAAAUAGUUUGAUCUAUUGUGUGUACAAUCAGAGAAGUGAAAAAUUGUACUUCACUUGUGUACUAUGAAUCAAAAAACAUUCUGUGGUCAUGUAUAACUGAUUAGAAUAAGUAAAUUAAAAGAAAUUUUUAAAAAUCCUCAAGAUUGACAAGUAUGUGAAAGCUAACAGCAUAGAUCACUUUCACCUCUCUCAAACUUUAUAACAAAUGAGAGUUCAGCAUCAACAGUUUUAUAUUUGAUAUUAAAAAUUCCAUGUUCUUUUUAAAUUAGCAUUUUUCCAAAUUACCAGUGGUGAAAUUCAACUGUAGGAAUAUCAAAUAUUUAAGCUUCUUUUUUUGUGUGUGUGCCUAGGAUUGAACCCAGGACCUUGUGCAUUCACUGGAAGCACUCUACCAACUUAGCUAUAUUCCCAGCCCCUAAUUAAGCAUUCUUUAAAAAAAAUUGUUUUAUCUUUAUACAUUAUAGUUAUACAUACUAUUAUAGUUAACUAACAUAAUUAUACCAACAAUAACAUGAUUUGCUCUUGUUCAGUCACCAGUACUUUUUCUUUUCCUCCACUAAUGUCUCCCCCUGUUCCUUUUCCUCUACUCUAAUAGUCUUCCUUUUGUUUAUUUAAAGUAUUUCAAAAUCAGUGCUUUAUAGAUACUCAUGAAGAUGAAAUUCAGUGCUAUAUUCGUACAUGUACAUUGAAUAGUUUUUUCAAUUCCAUUCCACCCUUCCUUUCUUUUACCAGCCCUCCUUCAUCACCCUCAAUCCCCUCCUCUGCAUAUCUCCUUUCUGUUUUUGUGAGACUUUCUCCCCCUCUUAUUUCCUGCAUUUUGGUUUAACUUCCACAUAUGAGAGAAAGCAAUCAAUAUUUGAGUUUCUGAUUCAGGCUUAUUUCACUUGCCAUGAUGUUCUGCACUUGCAUCCAUUUAUCAGCAAAGGCCAUAAUUUCAUUCUUCUUUAUCACUGAGAAAAAUUCAUUAUGUAUAUGAACCAUAUUUUAAAAAUCUAUUUAUCUUUUGACAAGAAACUGGGCUAGUUCCAUACAUUGGAUACUGCAAAUUGUGAGGUUUUAAACAUUGAUGUAGCAAUAUCUCUGUAGUAUGCUGAUUUUAGAUCUUUUGAAUAAAUAACAAUGAGUGGGAUAGCUGGUUCAUAAGGUGGUUAUAGUUUUAGUGUUUUGAGGAAUCUCCAUACUUCUUUCCAGAAUGGCUGUAGUAAUUCAUGGUAUCAACAACAGUGCAGUAAUGUAUGUUUUCCUCCACAGCCUCACCAGCAUUUAUUAUUGUUUGUAUUCUUGAAAAUAGCCAUUCUGACUGAAGUGAAAUAAAAUGUUAGUGUAGUUUUAAUUUGUAUUUUCCUUCUUGCUGGAGAUAUUGAAUAUUUCUUUUUUCAUUUAUUUGUUGGUUAUAUCUUCUUUUGAAAAGUAUCUGUGUAGUUCUUUUGCACAUUUACUAAUUAAAUUAUUCAUUUUGCUGAUGUUUUUUGAGUUUUUAUACUGGAUAUUAAUGCCCUAUCUGAGGAGCAUUUCACAAGGAUCUUCCCCAUUCUGCAAUCUCUUUUUGGAAAUAGAUACCUAGGUACCAUCUCUGUGACUGGGAAACGAUCUGUGGGCCCACAUGCAUCUAAGCCCUCAGUGUCCUUCAGACAGCUCCUGGAGAAUAAUGACAUCCCACAAUUUUAACAGUGCAGUCAUUGUCUAUGGGGAAGACAGAUUCCAGGGGCUUCCUUCCCAGUGUCUCCUCAGGAUUUUCUCCCUCUGAAGACUUUAGACACCAGGACUAGUCUUAAUUGUGUGGUGCUUGAGAAACUGAUGUGACUCCAUUUUUGAGAAACCAGCUUCUACCUCAAGGCCUGUCCAGAGGGAGCAGGCAUGACCCUUAUCUUUGGAAAAACCCAGAGAGCACUCCUAGGUACAUAGCCACCCUGUUGAGUUGUUUGUAAAUAACAGAAAGUAUAUGAACCACCAGGUGUCUCUGAGUCAGUUACACUAGGUGAGGACCCAUAGCAACCCCCUAAUAAACACCAAUCAGCAUGAGACAGGAAAAAUAUCUGAAAUUCGAGGUGACCCUCCCAGUAGUUUUUUUAUGAUUGAUGACAUGAUUAGGCAACCCUGCAGUUUAGCAUAUACACUUUUGCAACCCCUCAUGGCCUAAGCCAAACAGUUCAAAUGUACCCACCAUUUGAACUAACCCAUCACCCUUACUCAACUUGUUCACACUGGAGAAUGUGCUAAUCAAUGUUAAGAGUUGUUGUUUGAUUUUCCCACAGUGUGAAAUGAUUUGCUGUAUGAUGUUGUGAUGCAUAGAGUAUCCCCCCCCAAAACCUUUAAAUCUUCACUGAACUAAGGGUUAGGACUCACUCCUCGGGACUGCUGCAUUGGAAGUGGCUGUGAGUCCAGGUUCGAGCUGGCAAUAAAGACUCUUGUGUGAUUGCAUUGGAUUCAGCCCCUGGAGGUCUAUUGGGGUCCCACAAAUCUGGCAUUACAUGCUGAGAAAUUGUGAAGACUGAGUGAGUCAGCAGAGGAGGAAAGAGCAGGAGACUGGACAUGAAGUAGCUCAGAAGGAUAGUGGUGUUAGCCUUGGUGAGGCAGCGGCAAGGAGAUGGAAACAUAAAAUCAAUACCAAUACAUAUAACUAGGUAAUUGUGGAUGGCUUAUGGAUGUAAAAUUGCAUGUACUUAAAGUGUCUUUUUAUAAAACGACCCUCUCAGAAGUUUUAUAAUGUACAAAUAUUUUAACAGGACAGAAAUUAUUAACUAUAAGUGUGGAUACAUCCUAAAUUAUUCAUUAAAACUAGGAGCAUCUUAGUUGAAAUUCNCAGAAGUUUUAUAAUGUACAAAUAUUUUAACAGGACAGAAAUUAUUAACUAUAAUUGUGGAUACAUCCUAAAUUAUUCAUUAAAACUAGGAGCAUCUUAGUUGAAAUUCAUACCAACAUUUUAGGUAGAAGCCUAUGACCAACAAAGGGACAACUACAAAUUUACCCAGUAAAAACACCUGCAAGUAUCACCAAAACACCCUGAAGAAACUACACAUGGUGCUUACCAUGAGACUUUCAAGUAAAAAGAUGGUCACAUAUUGUAUUAAUUGUUUCUGUUGACAUAACCAUAGGCCUGGGGUUGGAGCUUGCUAAAGAAAAUCACUGAGGGCUUAAAACUUUUAAGGGUAAAUUUGACUGUUAAUAUUAAUGUCAAACAUUGUCAAUUCUUAUCAAAUUAGCUUCUAGCCAUCCCCACCCCACCCCCAAAGCAUAAAUGAUGUGCAUGGGCUUUUGUGGCAGCCCGCCCACACUUUGCAGAAUUCUUGGUGGGCUAUGAAAACUCUGUGUCACCUUGGACACUGAGUUCUCAUUGCUGAUUGCCCUGUUAGUCCUGAAGCUACUGAUACAGACCCACAGCCAAGGUCACACCCUUCCCAAGCUUUACAAGACAUGUCCUUGUGAUUUAAAACAUCAGUUUCUUUCUCUCUUACCUUUUCCUUGUUUCCUCACUUUCUCUGUCUUUUAGCAGUCAUCAAAAAUGAAAACAAAGCAAGUACCUCUGGGGAGAGGAAAGAAUAUUAUUUCUAGGACUGCCAUAUUAAUAUAUUAUAGGUCCAGUUUUCAGUCAAAAAAUUAAAAAAUAAACUGGGUGUGUGGUUAAUUCAAAGGCUGAAUAAAUAAUAAACCAACAGAAAACAUCCUUCAGGAAUGGCACUCCCCAGUCAACAAAUGUUCCUGCUGCAGCUCUAAAACAUGACAACAACCACAUGGUUGGUGUUUUAAAGGGGGGGUGUAGUUUGUAUGUGUCUUUUUAUGACUGAGUUAAGGCAGGUUAAGAUCUCUAAAAAUGUUCCAAGGGAAUGGUGGCUCUAACAGAGAAUUUUUUAUUGUCAUUAUACUCUGAGAGAAGGUUGUGGGCUGUUUUUAAAGAUAAUUCUCUUGAUGUAUGUGGACAUCUCAUGGGAGGAUGGAUGUGCUGUUUUUUUCUAUGGACUGUCUGUUAAAGACUGUUUAUGCUAAUGAAGAGUCUUGGAUAUCAUCAACUUUUAGAAAAUGUAUUUUAGUGCAGAGGGUAUUCAGACUCCAGCAAAAGAAGAGUAAUGCCCAACACAUCAAAGGUUUUGGAGAUCCAUGGAAAAUGCUGAGCUUGAGGAGUCCUAAGAUCUUCAGACUACAUGGAGAGCAGUCUUGAAACUCAGUUGUAAAGACUUCAAAAGGAAAGUGACAGAUGGUCUAACUAAGGGUUCUGUUAACCAUGCCAUGCUUUAUCUAUCAUAAAAAUUGACUGCCAGCAUCCUGGAUAAUUCUAAUGAAAAAAUUCUCAUGAUUUAAAGCUAAAGCCAAUUCUAAAUGUGUCCCAUUCUCCCCCCCACAUUUUUUUUUUACCAUGGAUUGAACCAAAUGACACUUAAACAUGGAACCACAUCUGCAGCCCUUUUUUUUAAUAUUUUAUUUAAAGACAGAGUCUUCAUGAGUUGCUUAGGACUUCAAUAAGUUGCUGAGGCUGGGUUUGAACUCAUGAUCCUCCUGCCUCAGCCUUCCAAGCCACUGGGAUGACAGGAAUGCACCACUAUGCCCAGCAAACUCUUCUCAUUCUAAUGAUCAUAUCAAGUUAUUGUGCCCUGAGCUAUAUCAUUGCCUCAUUCCCAAAUAGUGCUUGUUGCAAUGGUUAAAGCUCCAGGUUCUGUAUAUUCAUGUUGACAUCAGAACAGCUGUGCCCCAAAUCUUUACUGUUUAAAAAUACAGAAUAAGAAUGUAGAUCAUAAUGAAGGAACAGAUCAUGUGAGCAGGUUGAAAUCAGAAUUGAGGAGGGAAUGUGGAACUGGGGCCUCCUACUCUAGAGAGAAGAGUCUAUGCAUCUCACAUAAAUAUAGCAGAAAGGCUUAUGUAAGUAGCCUUUGUGUUCUAUGACAAAAUCCAGGAGACUGAGUACUUUACAGAAAGAAGAUCCUUAUUUCACAGUUUAGGGUCCUCACAGCAUGCCACCCAAAUUUGCUCAAUUCCUAUGUGGCCCUGUGCUGUGUCAUAAGGGGGUGGCUGGCAUCAUAGCAGAAAUGUGCGUGAGAAGUCACAUGGUGAGUUUGGAAGGCACAGAGCUGACUAGGAACUGUCCUGUCUUUUAGCACACCCCUAUCAUUAGAACCAGCUAGCAUCCUAAAGAACUUCCUUCAUCAUUUCAAUGGGCAAAAAUCCCCAGUGACCUGUCAACCUCCACCAGGCCUUACCUCAUAUGGGCCCCACCACCUGUUAAUAUUGCCACACUGGACACCUUGCUUCCAAUAGAAAAACCCUUGGGAGACAUAUCACAUCCAGUAGAAAGACAAUGCAUUUCUAUAAAAAGGGUCAGUACUUCCAAAAAUUCCAUGAAAAAGCAAAUGAAGGCAUAAGCAGCAGCAAACUCAACCCAGGAAAGACAGACUAAAAAUUCCUUUGAAGAAAAGAUAACUCAACAUCAACCUCAGCAUAGACUAAAUCUGUUUUAUACAAGUGUUUCUGAUAAACACUGCACACUGGAACUCAGGAGAACAAGGAAGUCACUAAUCUAGGGAGAGAAACAACAUUGUAGGUAAAUUCUGCAAACAGAGAAAUUUAUACCCAUGGAGAAACUCUUUUGUGACCACAGAGCUCAAUUGCACCUGGAAAAAGAUAUCAAAGUGCAUAAGUGUAUUCUAGUGUUAUGUAUAACUAAUUAAAAAAUUAAAAAUUAAAAAACAGGAAUAUGAGUGCUACUUCAAACAUGCCUUCUAUGAAAGAUUUCAAUCCCUACGUGUUCUUUAUUUCUACCCUCAUGCUGUCUAGGACUCCCUGGGCAUCUGGAGCUGCACAGAGCAGUGUUCAAACCAAGAUGAAGGAAAGAGGAAGAGAUGAAGUACCUUUAAAAAAGAGAAAGAAGGUUUUGUGUUACCAUAGUAUUUUCAAACUAUUCUGAUGGUGUGGCCUUCAGUUCAGUUUUUUCUAUAUUAGUCUAUUUUACAUCUGUUAAUCACUAGACUCAUUACAUUUAUUAAAUGUUCAUGUUAUUUGUACUUUGGGAACAGUCAAGGUGACACAUAACCUUUGAAAGACUGGCUUUCCCGAGGGCACCCAAUUUUUAGGAAUUGGCUCCACAUGGAAUCCAUAUAAAAAUUUACCUACCCAUGGCUGUAGAUAAAAACAUACCAAAUGGUAAAUACUUAGGGUGAACAUUUCAGAAAAUCUUGUACUUGAUAUGUAGACUAUGUUAGAGGUGCUGUAUUCCAGUUAGGAGUUUUGCUGCAUGAUUUGAUUAUGGCUGUUCUUGACAUGGGGGAAUAUAUGUGCUUAUGUAAGAUGAGAGAUAAGUGAGUUUGUUCUACUCUAGUGACCAUUUCACUCUAUAUCUAUGAUGUCAUUUAUCUACCUUAAUAUAUACAGUAAAAAUUAUUUUUCUUCAAAACUUUGGUAAAGUAAUUGAGUAGAUAUAUUUUCAAAAAAAGACAUAAAGUGGUCAGCAGAUAUAUUAAUUAUGCUUAUAGUGACUAACCAUCAGUAAAAAACAUAAGAUGAUAUUACUUCACAAUUGUUGGGAUGGUUAAAAAAAGACUAGAAAUAACAAGUGUUUGCAGAAAUAUGGAGCAAAGAUAACCUUGGGCAGAUUAUUUGGGUGAUUAUGCAAAUUGGCCCACUCACCUUGGAAAACUGUAUAAAAAUGCCUUGGAAAAUUGAGAGUAAAACAUACUUGUGACACUGAAAUCCAACUCCCUUGUGUGUAUCUAAAUGAAAACAAAUUGAAUCAGCCUCCUUAUAUCAGAGAAAACAUUCAGCAUUUUUUGGGGGGGAUUGGCUGGCUAACUUCACUCAGCAUUGUCUUCUCCAACUCCAUCCAUUUACCUGCAAAUGCCAUGAUUUUAUUCUCUUUUAUUGCUGAAUAAAAUUCCAUUGUGUAUAUGUGCCAUAGUGGAGUAGGGAGGGGAAGCAUGGGAGGAAUGGAUGAAUUCUAGAUAGG
Molecule: long non-coding RNA, 7004 nt
Filed under: Marmota monax (woodchuck)
Lineage: Eukaryota; Metazoa; Chordata; Mammalia; Rodentia; Sciuridae
Source: RNAcentral